UAGGGAAUCUUCGGCAAUGGACGAAAGUCUGACCGAGCAACGCCUCGUGAGUGAAGAAGGUUUUCGGAUCGUACAACUCUGUUGUUAGAGAAGAACAAGGACGUUAGUAACUGAACGUCCCCUGACGGUAUCUAACCAGAAAGCCACGGCUAACUACGUGCCAGCAGCCGCGGUAAUACGUAGGUGGCAAGCGUUGUCCGGAUUUAUUGGGCGUAAAGCGAGCGCAGGCGGUUUCUUAAGUCUGAUGUGAAAGCCCCCGGCUCAACCGGGGAGGGUCAUUGGAAACUAGGAGACUUCAGUGCAGAAGAGGAGAGUGGAAUUCCAUGUGUAGCGGUGAAAUGCGAAGAUAUAUGGAGGAACACCAGUGGCGAAGGCGGCUCUCUGGUCUGUAACUGACGCUGAGGCUCGAAAGCGUGGGGAGCAAACAGG
RNAcentral lists this ribosomal RNA (429 nucleotides) under Chloroflexota bacterium. RNAcentral describes it as "Chloroflexi bacterium partial 16S ribosomal RNA". It matches the Rfam family "Bacterial small subunit ribosomal RNA", at positions 355 to 776 of the family's 1533-position model. Lineage: Bacteria; Bacillati; Chloroflexota. The record is from RNAcentral.